Molecule: unclassified non-coding RNA, 232 nt
Filed under: Hevea brasiliensis (rubber tree)
Lineage: Eukaryota; Viridiplantae; Streptophyta; Magnoliopsida; Malpighiales; Euphorbiaceae
Source: RNAcentral
GCCAAGGAAGAGACACUUAAGAGAUUUGGGAUCCAAAUUAGUAACAUGUGGACGAACAUCUCUCAUAAAACAAGUACUGCCAAAGAUACGAGGUUCAAUAGAAAACAAAGAUUUAGAUGGAAACAAAAUCGUAUAAGGAUUGUCACCAUUAAGCACAGAUGAUGGCAUACGAUUAAUCAGGAAACAAGCUGUAGAAACUGCAUCAUAUCAAAAUUGUUUAGGGACUUUCAUU